GACGUAGGAGGCGAGCGUUAUCCGGAUUCACUGGGCGUAAAGCGCAUGUAGGCGGUUCUGUAAGUCCGUUGUUAAAGCCCCCGGCUCAACUGGGGGAGGUCAAUGGAGACUAUAGGACUUGAGGGCAACAGAGGCACAUGGAACUCCCGGUGUAGCGGUGAAAUGCGUAGAUAUCGGGAGGAACAUCGAUGGCGAAAGCAACCGUCUGGGCCUGAACUGACACUGAGACACGAAAGCGUGGGGAGCAAACAGG
RNAcentral lists this ribosomal RNA (253 nucleotides) under uncultured bacterium. RNAcentral's name for it is "partial 16S ribosomal RNA". It matches the Rfam family "Bacterial small subunit ribosomal RNA", at positions 524 to 776 of the family's 1533-position model. The record is from RNAcentral.